This is a long non-coding RNA of Drosophila ficusphila, 4030 nucleotides long. RefSeq lists it as uncharacterized. NCBI's taxonomy places the organism in Eukaryota, Metazoa, Arthropoda, Insecta, Diptera, Drosophilidae. The transcript has 2 exons. The record is from RefSeq and is a predicted model, not a curated record.
ACAUGGCCGCAUUUGACACGAAAUUGGCUAUAGGCUAUAGCUCCGAACUGGAACCGGGGAUCCGAUCCGAGUUGGAAGUGUGAGUUUUGCAUUCGAGCGAAUCGAACCGCGGUCCGCGGUCCGGGAAUCGUGACAAGAUGAUGCUAAUCCGAUAGCCAUCGGAAUCGCUCUCCGGAUCGUGUUGUAAUUGUUGACGCCGAACGAACUUGAUUUGAUUAACGUUUCUUAUUUUUCCAUCCCGCUUGCAUCGGAAAUCGAGCCGGGCCUGAUUCUUCGACUGGAAUAUCGGGUUAUAGAAUGGCGCAGAAAGCUAGGAAUUCUGGCAUGGACGACUCAUUUCUAAGGCAGCCAUAAAAAGCGGCAGUCAAUGACUGAGAAUUGCCAUAAAAAUUGUUGACACAAAAUUUCUUGGAUCUGAAUUUAUGCGCGGGAAUCGAGAAUGCGUAUAAAUCAUGUUAUAAUGGCUGUCUUCAAUAAAUUAAAAUCAUUAAAAGCGGAUUAUCAGCAUGGGAUGGGAAAGUUUGUGAAAGAAGUGAGAUGGGUCCGCGAUAUCUGGAUCGUGGAUUCGGGUUAGAUGUAUGCCAUACCUGGCCGACAUCUGGGGCCUUGUCCGUUCAAUCAGCCAUCGAUUCGGCAGAGCUCCCCGAUCCCUAAUUACGAGAAUCCGGCGCUGCGAAGCGUUACGCAUUCGUCAGUUCCAUCCGCUCGAAAGAAAUCUUAAUUAACGCAUAAACAAUUAACGCGUAUCUCAUUAUGUUCUGUUUGCCGGCAAUCUAUCUAACUUCUGUCUGUCUCUCCUCGCCUUUUGGAGUCAUUAGGGGGCUUAUUUCUUCGGUCGCCGUCGUUAUUGUUAUUUUCGGUAUUUUCGUUGGUCGGGAAACCAUUCAUAAAUGAUUAACGUUGCCAAAGUGCAAUUAACAUUGCAAACAAGGGCGGAGUCACGAGGAAGAGGACGGACCCCACAGAUACUUCUGCCAGAUAUACUAUAUGUUUGUGCCAUUUCCCCCGGCCGCUUUAUCGCAAUGAUAAUCAGAAACAACGCAACAAAAACUGAGACUUCAUGCGGCCAUAAAAGCCAUAUAAUAAUAAUAAUAAUACUUGUGCCCACAUGGUCCGCUGUCUGCGCGAGUGCGCUUAAUUUUAUUUCGUUUUCCCAUUUUUUUACCAUUCGAAUUUGGCCAUAUAAACAUUUUUGUGACGCGCGGUAAUUACGCUGAAAAACUCAUUUGACGGGUCGCCCAUUCAGUCGCCGUGUAAUAAAUCUCUCGAUGUGUAUAAUUUGGUGUGAGUGAGCCUGGCCAACGCACGGAAAAUCGUAUCUCGUAGAUACAACCGAUUGUCCGUGCACUGGGUGCUCUUUUUGUAUUUCGGCACAGAGAAAAAAUAUGGCUGGGAUUUUCCUCUAAGCCCUGCGCUGUUUUCUUUCUGUAUCGUGCCAACGUCAACUGCUGAGAUGACACUUUAAAUUGUUUUUGUACUUACAUAUAUGAGUAUUACUUCAAAUCAAAUAAAAACAAGCAACUUAAAAUUGGUAUAAGCAUUCAAAGUUAUUUUUUAUACAUAUUUAUUCUGCCUUGUUUAAUUCUAUUAAUGUGUGAGAGGGGUUUCUAACCGGUUUGAUUUAAUAAAUACAAAACUAGUGAAUAGUUUUUGGUGAAACUUGCAAUAAACGCAUAAAACAGAUGGAAUAAAUUAGGAACAAAAAAUGAACUACCAUAGUAGGUUUUUUCCAGUGCAUCCUUGACACAACAGGCGACUCAACUCCGGGGAUGGGCCGUGCUGUUUGGGAUGCGGACUGGAUCGCUCGUCUCGGUUGGGAUCUGCUGGCUUCCAGGUCUCUAAGCUGCCCGCAGGCAGUCAUCCACUCAGGCAGUCGGAAAAAGGAGAAUGGAGAAGGGAGAGGGGGACCAUUAGGUGGAAUGCCUAGCCUGCAAUCAUUACUCAUCUGAGGCCUAGGGUUUCCUCGCAUUCGACUAUUGUCAAUGGCAAAACAAUGAGCCGGCAAGCAAAUGCAGCGCAGCUAGCGGGGGGCAGACGGCAGAUAUCAGAUACAGCCGGAGAUUCAGAUGCGGCACAGCCAGCAGAUACAGAUGCAAACUACAAGCUACACGCUACGAGCUACACACAUGUGGGAAAGUAUCUCUAAGUAUAUGCCACAAUUUAUGGCUUCCUACACGGACACAUCGUGGCCCCAAAAAAAGCAAAUAUGUAUAUGACAAGUCAUAAAUGCCUCAACCUCACGGACAAAGUUACAGCAACACAAACACAAGCAGAUACAGAAACAGAUACAGAUACUUUUGUUGUUGCGGAGGCCAUAAAAAGACACAAAAAUCGACUGACACAUCGCUCAAUAAACAUAAAUUAUAAUUUAUUUAACUUUUGCACUUUGUUUCAUUUAAUUCCCGAUGCUCGUUUCCAAUUCGAAUGGGAUUCAUUUGUUUAUUAUUUGUUUGCUUUGGUUUCGUUUCGUUUCGUUCCGACGGACUCAUUUAUUCGUCGGAAAUUCAAUGAAAAAUUCAAGGAAAAACGUUUUCAGCUGGCUGGCUCAUUAAAAGACGCGCCACGCACAACUAUUCGAAAUAUUUUAAUUAUUUUCCACUCGCACAUAUACAUUGGUUAAAUGCGAUUCGUGGGCGUAGCAGGUUAUUUUGAAUUAUUUUUUAAAGCGAUUUUAAUUGCCCCGCCGGAGACCAAUUGACGUAUGUUUUUUGGACCGGGCUCUGUUUUCCGGGGGCACUUUGGGGCUCCGUCAUCUGGGUCCGGAUUGUGGAUUGUGAAAAGCACUUCGGUGCAGUGUUGAGUUCGGUCCGCUCCGCUUGAAUUAUGAGCCCUGGAAAUCCACAGUGGAAACAUGAGCCCCGUGAGCGCUGAUAGUGUGGCACAAAUACUCAAAGGGGAGGGGGAGGGUGGGGAAGAGGGCUGCGGAACAAUGACAAAUACGUGAGCUGAUAUUUCAUGCAACCGACAGAGACAAUCUCCGUGUUUUGUGCAACCCAAAAAAUGGGAGGGGGAGGGGAAGUACCUGGGCGAAGUCCCCUGAUCGCAAUUACGAACCCCCUGGGCCAGCAAAACUCAUUUGACUUUAUUCAAGUUGCUCAAAUUAAUAUUCAAUUAAUUUGCAUUUUUAUUGUGUUCGGUUCAGUUGUUCUUUGGGUUUUUUCUUACGCAUGCAGCCCAGUAGUAUUAUAAUUCCUUUAUAUCCAUAAUAUGCUACAAAUUUAUUCCGUUUCUACCGCUUUACAUCGUUAUAUUUACGAAAUAAUCAUAUUUAUAUGUUGUUGGUUUUUUUUUCGGGGUUUCCAUUUGUUAGGGACUCUAAAUAAUUUACAUGAAAGUUGUUUGGCUUCAAUCGGAACUGAAAUGUUAAUAUCCAUUAGAGACUAUGUGAGUUGCUUGUGUUGGUGGCCCUACAAAAAAUACCAUAAUUAAUGCAAAUGUUCGGCUAGCGUAUGUGCAAAAAAAAUGUUAGUUCGCCUUCAUACAUUAUUCAAAGUACGAUGCACAAUAAUUAUGAAUAAAACUACUAUCACAUUGAAAUACACAUAUAUAUGAUACAUGCCGGGAAACAAUAAUAAUAAUUGCUCAUUAAAUAUCUACACACGCAAAGCGAAAAUUGAAACAAUUUAAGUCCGAUCAUAAUGCCACAAAAUUGUUCUCUAAUUUAAUAAAUUCCCGACAGCAUUUCAGCACUUCAGUAGGUCUUGCUGAAAUUCGCUUGGCUUUUUGAGGUCUCUAGAACGAACAGAUAUCGUUGUCUUGGCAGUUUGGGCAGAUUAUAUCCUAUGCUAACCACAUUCAGCGGCCUUCUUAAAAGCAACGGAAAUGCUGUGCGGAAAACGAGGAUUUCCAGCAAAUUAGGAAAUGCUUAAUUGUUAAUGUGUUCACAGCAGAAUAAGUAGUUCUUGGUUUCGCUGAAAAUAUAGAUUUAUAUCUGGCCAGCACUUUUCACGCUCGAUAAGUUCCGCUGAAAACUGUUUUCGUUUCACAUUAAUAAGUAAUCCGAUUUAGUGCUCAUAUGCAGCUACGGCUA